AUUUACUCUCUUCCUAGAACUUGAAUCCCUCUCUCCAUCUCUCUCAGUCUCUCUCCUUCCAUCUUCCCUCUUCCAUUCAUGGGGGUCCCCUCUCCGGUUUCUCGUGUUCUGACGGAAACAACCAGCAAACGAAAACCCAUCCCAAUUCCCUCGUCACUCUCGUAUCUCUCAUUCACACAUCGCCCUCUUCCCAAGACCCAACUCAAAACCCUAAUGCGAGAGCAGACGACGUCACGACGGACAAUCACCACGACUCCUUGAUGAUGGAGUGACAGACACAACCAGCAUCCUCUUCUCCUUCUCUCACGGUGGUAGGUAAAUUUCUUUUUAAUCUAUUUUUUCUCGAUUUCUAGGGUUUUUGCGAGAUUCUUGCGAUUGUUUUUGAAUCGAAUUUGACUUACUUUUAGAUCUAAGGUUUAGGAUUUGAUCUUCUCUUUGUUGUCGAAAUUGUACCUGGCUACCUGCGCAAUCAUUUGACCUCCCCCUGCGUUUUCUCAGAAGAUGCUAGAGGUAACUACGUAUCUAUGAAGUUUCUCCUCACAUGUCAAACCCCAGCUCUGCUCUUUUAGCGAUUUCUUGUUAUUUUUAGUGUUUGAUCAGUUUAGAUACGAAUUCUAAGCAAAGUACAUUCAGUGAAAUGUGAAUUUGAGUGAAUUAUUGUCUGUAAUGUAAAUUACCUGGAUGUAUUCUUCUGUAUUCUGGUGCCUGUCAAAAUUUUCUAUUAUUGUCUACUUUGAAGAAAUUACAAUGUGAUCGUCUUUCUGUAUUAUUGUAGAAAAGCUUUGACGAUUUCUCUAUUAGUGUCGUUAUAUCGUAUCGAAACCACAGUGAAAUUAUAAAGUCAUUAGGUUUUAUGUAUUUCUUGUGCUGUAAGUUUUUCUACUUCAUUUACAUGAUAAAUUGUCCUACGUGCCAUUCCAACAAUUUGAUUUCCUUUUGACUUGUAUGAUGAUCAAUUCAAUGAUAUCGUCCGACUCAUCCCCUCUUUUGUUUAAUUUAGUUGAUCUAGGUUUGUAAACAGAAGAUCAGCUAUAAGGUAAUGCAUGUAUUUGUUUAAAACUGAUAUGUCCUGUCUAUAGACGAUGUAACUCAAUUUUUGAAAUUUUAUUUCUUGUUCAGAUGGCAUAUGAGUUGCAUAGCAUGUUAACUGAUGUUGUUAGCUUGAUGACAUGGGAGAAGGUAUGCCAGUAUAUGGAGGAGGGAACGACAACGACUCAUUUCUUACCAAAGUUGUCAGCCCACUUUACCGGGUUAUAUCUGAGGUCGCCUGACUGUUUUUCAAUAGGUUGGCCAAUGCGUGUUGAUGACCAUGAUUUCUUCUUUGUGGAAAAAAAAAAUAUCAAGGUGAUCAACCAGAGAUGAACAUCUUUGUUCGUCUAAACAAAUUAAGAGGAAAGAGGGUGGUGAAGGAUGAGGAACAUGGGAUUUUUCUUCUUACUCUAUCAUCCUCCAUUCUAUGUUGAUUGCAUCUACAAAGAUUUCAGUGAAGCUGUCGGUGUUGACAUUCGGGCAUAUGAGGAAACUCAACUGACGGCUGAUGCAGAGACAUUCGAGAAAAAGGUUACCUUGCGUAACCAAAUAUCAAAGCUG
Molecule: long non-coding RNA, 1590 nt
Organism: Beta vulgaris subsp. vulgaris (sugar beet)
Lineage: Eukaryota; Viridiplantae; Streptophyta; Magnoliopsida; Caryophyllales; Amaranthaceae
Exons: 3
Source: RefSeq, a predicted model, not a curated record